RNAcentral lists this ribosomal RNA (253 nucleotides) under uncultured bacterium. Its description in RNAcentral is "partial 16S ribosomal RNA". It matches the Rfam family "Bacterial small subunit ribosomal RNA", at positions 524 to 776 of the family's 1533-position model. The record is from RNAcentral.
UACGAAGGGGGCUAGCGUUGCUCGGAUUGACUGGGCGUAAAGGGCGCGUAGGCGGCGAUGUAAGUCAGGCGUGAAAGCCCCGGGCUCAACCUGGGAACGGCGCUUGAUACUGCGUUGCUUGAGGACGGGCGAGGAUGGUGGAAUUCCCAGUGUAGAGGUGAAAUUCGUAGAUAUUGGGAAGAACACCGGUGGCGAAGGCGGCCAUCUGGACCGUUUCUGACGCUGAGGCGCGAAAGCGUGGGGAGCAAACAGG